GGAGGGUUGCCGGAGUGGUUAACGGAGCAGUUUGCUAAACUGUCGACACGCAAGUGUCGCAAGGGUUCGAGUCCCUUACCCUCCG
Molecule: transfer RNA, 85 nt
Filed under: Bergeyella sp.
Lineage: Bacteria; Pseudomonadati; Bacteroidota; Flavobacteriia; Flavobacteriales; Weeksellaceae
Description: tRNA-Ser
Rfam family: tRNA
About the family: Transfer RNA (tRNA) molecules are approximately 80 nucleotides in length. Their secondary structure includes four short double-helical elements and three loops (D, anti-codon, and T loops). Further hydrogen bonds mediate the characteristic L-shaped molecular structure. tRNAs have two regions of fundamental functional importance: the anti-codon, which is responsible for specific mRNA codon recognition, and the 3' end, to which the tRNAs corresponding amino acid is attached (by aminoacyl-tRNA synthetases). tRNAs cope with the degeneracy of the genetic code in two manners: having more than one tRNA (with a specific anti-codon) for a particular amino acid; and 'wobble' base-pairing, i.e. permitting non-standard base-pairing at the 3rd anti-codon position.
Source: RNAcentral